AUAUAUGUGAUUACUUUAUAUGUUUAUUAAUUUCUGUAUGUGGAUUGAGUAAAUUACAUUAUUUAAAAAAAAAAUUUGUUUUUUUUAUAGACUAUUUAUGUUAUUUAUAAUAUAUUUUUAUUUAAAUAACAAAUUCAAUUCUUUCAGUAAUAAAAAAUUCAUACAUAAAAAUUAAAUUCAAUAUAUAAUUUAAAUAAAAUUAAAUAUAUACGUACUAAAUCAAUCAUUCAUCUUUUGUUUGAUAAUUUAAUUAUAUUUAAUUUAAUUUAAUAUAAUUAUAUUUUAAACUAUUUAUAUUAUUUAUAAUAUCUAUCUAUAUCUCAACUUUUUAA
Molecule: small nucleolar RNA, 332 nt
Filed under: Cajanus cajan (pigeon pea)
Lineage: Eukaryota; Viridiplantae; Streptophyta; Magnoliopsida; Fabales; Fabaceae
Description: snoRNA gene-KK1_050244
Source: RNAcentral